AAGCCCCCGAUGUUGAGGAUGCCCCUGACACCGACGCAGCCGCCCCGGGAGCACCUCCCGCAUAGUUUCCUUCCUUCUCUUUUUUUAUUUUCUUGCAUGUGGCGCGUGGCGCCUUAGAACUUUUUUUUAUGUUAGCUUUCCCUUGUCAUUAUCAGUGUUACUCAUUAACUCGUUUUGCUCAAGCUUCAAUAUAUAUCCGAUGCUAUUUUUACUUGCUUCUUUGCCUAAGACUAGCUUGCCGGGGAGGGGCUCUGUCCUUCUCGUGUUUUAACCUUGCGUACCCGGGGACUUGCCAACUACGUGCUUGGCCAGACUAGGGACCUGGGACGGAACCGCGGUGCCGACCUAGGACCAAACA
This 358-nucleotide long non-coding RNA is filed under the name Brachypodium distachyon (stiff brome). Its description in RNAcentral is "long non-coding RNA (BDIS_LNC002326)". Lineage: Eukaryota; Viridiplantae; Streptophyta; Magnoliopsida; Poales; Poaceae. The record is from RNAcentral.